This is a non-coding RNA of Aedes albopictus (Asian tiger mosquito), 72 nucleotides long. The record is from Rfam. NCBI's taxonomy places the organism in Eukaryota, Metazoa, Arthropoda, Insecta, Diptera, Culicidae.
GCGUCGGUAAUGUAGUGGUUAGCGUGGUUGCCUCUCACCCCAAUCGAUCGGGGUUCGAUUCCCGUCGACGCC